This 557-nucleotide long non-coding RNA is filed under the name Rattus norvegicus (Norway rat). RNAcentral's name for it is "long non-coding RNA NONRATT032511". Lineage: Eukaryota; Metazoa; Chordata; Mammalia; Rodentia; Muridae. The record is from RNAcentral.
GGCAGAGACAGGCAGAUCUCUGUGGUUCUAGGCCAGCCUAGUGUGCAAAGAGGACUUCUGCUACAUAAGGAGGCACUGGCUCAAAACAACAACAACAAACAAACAAACGAAAAACAAUAAAACCAAAUCAUAAAGAAUUAUCUGUGUGGCUGCAUCACCACUGGAUGUCCAUGUGUGUGGGGUUCACUGAAAAUUCUCUAGUCUAAAACACAGAUCUCUGGUUUGCCCGCCAUUCAUCCAGUCUUCCAAAGCCUUACUUUAGAUUUCUUGUUUCUAUCACUAACCAAAUUCAUUUAUUUUGAUGCUGAGGAUAGAACCAGGGACCUGGAGAUGCUAAACCAAGGUCCACCCUGGGCUGCUGGCUCGCAAAGACAGAAGCUAAACAGGACAUGCCUACUACCUCUGCCUCCACCUCUCAGGGCCUCACGCUGUCAGCCGUGACCGGACAGACCCGGUUCUACAAGGCCACCCUCACCAGCCUGGAGACCUUUAAUGACCUCGUCAGAGUCUGACUUCGACACUGAGACGUUCAGGGCGGACCAGUUAAUAAAAUGGAG